RNAcentral lists this ribosomal RNA (467 nucleotides) under uncultured bacterium. RNAcentral's name for it is "partial 16S ribosomal RNA". It matches the Rfam family "Bacterial small subunit ribosomal RNA", at positions 28 to 507 of the family's 1533-position model. The record is from RNAcentral.
GACGAACGCUGGCGGCGUGCCUAACACAUGCAAGUCGAACGGAAAGGCCCUGCUUUUGUGGGGUGCUCGAGUGGCGAACGGGUGAGUAACACGUGAGUAACCUGCCCUUGACUUUGGGAUAACUUCAGGAAACUGGGGCUAAUACCGGAUAGGAGCUCCUGCUGCAUGGUGGGGUUGGAAAGUUUCGGCGGUUGGGGAUGGACUCGCGGCUUAUCAGCUUGUUGGUGGGGUAGUGGCUUACCAAGGCUUUGACGGGUAGCCGGCCUGAGAGGGUGACCGGCCACAUUGGGACUGAGAUACGGCCCAGACUCCUACGGGAGGCAGCAGUGGGGAAUAUUGCACAAUGGGCGGAAGCCUGAUGCAGCAACGCCGCGUGCGGGAUGACGGCCUUCGGGUUGUAAACCGCUUUCGCCUGUGACGAAGCGUGAGUGACGGUAAUGGGUAAAGAAGCACCGGCUAACUACGUG